RNAcentral lists this long non-coding RNA (334 nucleotides) under Homo sapiens (human). RNAcentral's name for it is "HSALNT0287052". Lineage: Eukaryota; Metazoa; Chordata; Mammalia; Primates; Hominidae. The record is from RNAcentral.
CUUCACUGGAGUCUCUGAACCUACUUUGGCUCAGGAGGUUGCCCGAUUCAUGAAUCAUUCAUUGCUCAAUUAAACUCUGCUAAAUUUAAUUCAGCUGAACUUUUUCUUUUAACAGAUGGUAUCAGAAGUGGGAUCUGAAGUACAGCUUCUAACAACUCCCAGGAGUGCUGAGUGACCAAGCAAGGUACCCAUUGGGUUCAUUGUGUUCAUUGCUCUCUCGGAGCAGCUGGGGAUGAUGGCAGUCCUCCUACCUGCUACCAUGUGAAGAAAGACAUGUUUGGUUCCCCUUCCACCAUGAUUGUAUGUUUCCUGAGGCCUCCCCAACCAUGUGGAA